UUCCGGUUGAUCUGCCGGAGGUUACUGCUAUCGUGUUCGCCUAAGCCAUGCGAGUCAUAUGUAGCAAUACAUGGCGUAACUGCUCAGUAACACGUGGAUAACCUGCCCUUGGGACCGGCAUAACCCCGGGAAACUGGGGAUAAUUCCGGAUAACGCAUAUGUGCUGGAAUGCUUUAUGCGUAAAAUGGAUUCGUCUGCCCAAGGAUGGGUCUGCGGCCUAUCAGGUAGUAGUGGGUGUAAUGUACCUACUAGCCAGCGACGGGUACGGGUUGUGAGAGCAAGAGCCCGGAGAUGGAUUCUGAGACAUGAAUCCAGGCCCUACGGGGCGCAGCAGGCGCGAAAACUUUACAAUGCGGGAAACCGUGAUAAGGGGACACCGAGUGCCAGCAUCAUAUGCUGGCUGUCCAGGUGUGUAAAAUACACCUGUUAGCAAGGGCCGGGCAAGACCGGUGCCAGCCGCCGCGGUAACACCGGCGGCCCGAGUGGUGACCGUGAUUAUUGGGUCUAAAGGGUCCGUAGCCGGUUUGGUCAGUCCUCCGGGAAAUCUGAUAGCUCAACUAUUAGGCUUUCGGGGGAUACUGCCAGACUUGGAACCGGGAGAGGUAAGAGGUAC
RNAcentral lists this ribosomal RNA (613 nucleotides) under uncultured archaeon. RNAcentral's name for it is "bacterial SSU rRNA". It matches the Rfam family "Archaeal small subunit ribosomal RNA", at positions 1 to 618 of the family's 1478-position model. The record is from RNAcentral.